This 494-nucleotide ribosomal RNA is filed under the name uncultured Eubacteriales bacterium. RNAcentral describes it as "bacterial SSU rRNA". It matches the Rfam family "Bacterial small subunit ribosomal RNA", at positions 9 to 507 of the family's 1533-position model. Lineage: Bacteria; Bacillati; Bacillota; Clostridia; Eubacteriales. The record is from RNAcentral.
GAGUUUUGAUCCUGGCUCAGGAUGAACGCUGGCGGCGUGCUUAACACAUGCAAGUCGAGCGAAAAUAAUUGAGAGCUUGCUUUUGUAUUAUUUUAGCGGCGGACGGGUGAGUAACGUGUGGGUAACCUGCCUUUUACUGUGGAAUAAUCGUUGGAAACGACGACUAAUACCGCAUACGGUUCUUGGAAGGCAUCUUCUAAGAAAGAAAGGAUUUAUUCGGUAAAAGAUGGGCCCGCAUCUGAUUAGCUAGUUGGUGAGAUAAUAGCCCACCAAGGCAACGAUCAGUAGCCGACCUGAGAGGGUGACCGGCCACAUUGGGACUGAGACACGGCCCAAACUCCUACGGGAGGCAGCAGUGGGGAAUAUUGCACAAUGGGCGAAGGCCUGAUGCAGCAACGCCGCGUGAAGGAAGACGGUUUUCGGAUUGUAAACUUCUAUCAAUAGGGAAGAAAGAAAUGACGGUACCUAAAUAAGAAGCCCCGGCUAACUACGUG